AGAGUUUGAUCCUGGCUCAGGACGAACGCUGGCGGCGUGCCUAAUACAUGCAAGUCGAACGCUUCCUACCGGUGCUUGCACCGGGAAAGAAGAGUGGCGGACGGGUGAGUAACACGUGGGUAACCUACCUACAAGCGGGGGAUAACAUUCGGAAACGGAUGCUAAUACCGCAUAGAUCUUUUUGUCCCCUGGCAGAAAGAAGAAAGACGGUUUCGGCUGUCACUUGUAGAUGGACCCGCGGCGCAUUAGUUAGUUGGUGAGGUAAUGGCUCACCAAGACGAUGAUGCGUAGCCGACCUGAGAGGGUGAUCGGCCACACUGGGACUGAGACACGGCCCAGACUCCUACGGGAGGCAGCAGUAGGGAAUCUUCCGCAAUGGACGAAAGUCUGACGGAGCAACGCCGCGUGAGUGAAGAAGGUUUUCGGAUCGUAAAACUCUGUUGUUAGAGAAGAACAAGGAUGAGAGUAACUGCUCAUCCCUUGACGGUAUCUAACCAGAAAGCCAUGGCUAACUACGUGCCAGCAGCCGCGGUAAUACGUAGAUGGCAAGCGUUGUCCGGAUUUAUUGGGCGUAAAGCGAGCGCAGGCGGUUCUUUAAGUCUGAUGUGAAAGCCCCUGGCUCAACCAGGGAGGGUCAUUGGAAACUGGAGAACUUGAGUGCAGAAGAGGAAAGUGGAAUUCCAUGUGUAGCGGUGAAAUGCGUAGAUAUAUGGAGGAACACCAGUGGCGAAGGCGACUUUCUGGUCUGUAACUGACGCUGAGGCUCGAAAGCAUGGGGAGCAAACAGGAUUAGAUACCCUGGUAGUCCAUGCCGUAAACGA
This 821-nucleotide ribosomal RNA is filed under the name uncultured bacterium. RNAcentral describes it as "bacterial SSU rRNA". It matches the Rfam family "Bacterial small subunit ribosomal RNA", at positions 8 to 809 of the family's 1533-position model. The record is from RNAcentral.